UCGGACGGCAGCAUAGAAGAGCUUGCUCUUUUGAUGGCGAGUGGCGAACGGGUGAGUAAUGCAUCGGAACGUACCGAGUAGUGGGGGAUAACUGUCCGAAAGGAUGGCUAAUACCGCAUAUUCUCUGAGGAGGAAAGCAGGGGACCUUAGGGCCUUGCGCUAUUUGAGCGGCCGAUGUCUGAUUAGCUAGUUGGUGGGGUAAGAGCCCACCAAGGCGACGAUCAGUAGCGGGUCUGAGAGGAUGAUCCGCCACACUGGGACUGAGACACGGCCCAGACUCCUACGGGAGGCAGCAGUGGGGAAUUUUGGACAAUGGGCGCAAGCCUGAUCCAGCCAUGCCGCGUGUAUGAAGAAGGCCUUCGGGUUGUAAAGUACUUUUGUCAGGGAAGAAAAGCCUGGGGAUAACACCCUCGGGUCAUGACGGUACCUGAAGAAUAAGCACCGGCUAACUACGUGCCAGCAGCCGCGGUAAUACGUAGGGUGCGAGCGUUAAUCGGAAUUACUGGGCGUAAAGCGAGCGCAGACGGUUAUUUAAGCAAGAUGUGAAAGCCCCGGGCUCAACCUGGGAACUGCGUUUUGAACUGGGUAACUAGAGUGUGUCAGAGGGGGGUAGAAUUCCACGUGUAGCAGUGAAAUGCGUAGAGAUGUGGAGGAAUACCGAUGGCGAAGGCAGCCCCCUGGGAUAACACUGACGUUCAUGCUCGAAAGCGUGGGUAGCAAACAGGAUUAGAUACCCUGGUAGUCCACGCCCUAAACGAUGUCAAUUAGCUGUUGGGGUACAUGAUGCCUUAGUAGCGU
RNAcentral lists this ribosomal RNA (798 nucleotides) under activated sludge bacterium GC_R2A_S_47. Its description in RNAcentral is "bacterial SSU rRNA". It matches the Rfam family "Bacterial small subunit ribosomal RNA", at positions 62 to 849 of the family's 1533-position model. The record is from RNAcentral. RNAcentral also lists the same sequence under 2 other names.